This 392-nucleotide ribosomal RNA is filed under the name uncultured bacterium. Its description in RNAcentral is "partial 16S ribosomal RNA". It matches the Rfam family "Bacterial small subunit ribosomal RNA", at positions 523 to 918 of the family's 1533-position model. The record is from RNAcentral.
AUACGGAGGAUCCGAGCGUUAUCCGGAUUUAUUGGGUUUACAGGGUGCGCAGGCGGCCAUUUAAGUCAGCGGUUAAAUCGUGGGGCUCAACCCCAUUCUGCCGUUGAUACUGGGUGGCUUGAUUGCGGUCGAGGUUGGCGGAAUUCGUUGUGUAGCGGUGAAAUGCAUAGAUAUGAUGAAGAACACCGAUUGUGUAGGCAGCUGACCAGACCGCAAAUGACGCUCAUGCACGAAAGUGCGGGGAUCGAACAGGAUUAGAUACCCUGGUAGUCCGCACAGUAAACGAUGAAUACUUGUUUUCGGCGAUAUAAUGUCGGAGGCAAAGCGAAAGCGAUAAGUAUUCCACCUGGGGAGUACGCCGGCAACGGUGAAACUUAAAGGAAUUGACGGGG